RNAcentral lists this ribosomal RNA (254 nucleotides) under uncultured bacterium. RNAcentral's name for it is "partial 16S ribosomal RNA". It matches the Rfam family "Bacterial small subunit ribosomal RNA", at positions 524 to 776 of the family's 1533-position model. The record is from RNAcentral.
UACGGGGGGGGCAAGCGUUGUUCGGAAUUACUGGGCGUAAAGGGCUCGUAGGUGGCCAACUAAGUCAGACGUGAAAUCCCUCGGCUUAACCGGGGAACUGCGUCUGAUACUGGAUGGCUAGAGAUUGGGAGAGGGAUGCGGAAUUCCAGGUGUAGCGGUGAAAUGCGUAGAUAUCUGGAGGAACACCGGUGGCGAAGGCGGCAUCCUGGACCAACACUGACGCUGAGUGCGCGAAAGCCAGGGGAGCAAACGGG